This 207-nucleotide ribosomal RNA is filed under the name uncultured delta proteobacterium. RNAcentral's name for it is "partial 16S ribosomal RNA". It matches the Rfam family "Bacterial small subunit ribosomal RNA", at positions 568 to 774 of the family's 1533-position model. The record is from RNAcentral. Lineage: Bacteria; Deltaproteobacteria.
CGCGCAGGCGGUUUGCUAAGUCAGAUGUGAAAGCCCAUGGCUCAACCAUGGACGUGCAUUUGAAACUGGCAAGCUUGAGUAGUGGAGGGGGUGGUGGAAUUCCCGGUGUAGAGGUGAAAUUCGUAGAUAUCGGGAGGAAUACCGGUGGCGAAGGCGACCACCUGGCCACAUACUGACGCUGAGGCGCGAAAGCGUGGGGAGCAAACA